UUGAUACCGACGCCGUUGAGCCGCUCUGCCUCUCCAGCAAUGUAGCUCCGAGAAGCCCUCCUGCCAGCGCAUUGUUGAUACCAUAUCAUGUAACCUUAUGGACAUUUAUUCAUCUCUUCGCUUGGUGUCCACCGGAGGCCCGCGGGCUGGGACACAUGUGGACUGUCCGUGUCGCUGUCAACGUUGUUAUCACCUGGGAUGAAAUGGUCGCGUUUCUAGCACUGAAUCUCAUUUUCACGUCCAGGUCCAGGCUCCGUCAUUAAACUUUCAAAAUGAGGAUCUUCAUGUCUGUGCUGAAGAACGCCAACCCCAAAAUCGAGUACUACUCCCGGUUUUCGCCGUCCCCGCUCUCCAUCAAGCAGUUUUUGGAUUUCGGCAGGGACAAUGCUUGUGAGAAAACAUCCUAUAUGUUCCUGCGUAAGGAGCUGCCGGUGCGCCUGGCCAACACCAUGAGGGAGGUCAAUCUCCUACCUGAUAACCUGCUCAGCCAACCCUCCGUCAGACUGGUGCAGAAAUGGUAUAUGCAGAGCUUUGUGGAGCUGCUUGAUUAUGAGAACAGAAAGCCAGAGGACCGUCACGUACUGAAUGAUUUCCUGGAGCUCUUGAUUGAGAUCCGUAACCGUCACAACGACGUGGUUCCCACCAUGGCCCAGGGAGUCAUAGAGUACAAGGAGAAGUUUGGCUUUGACCCCUUUAUCAGCAGCAACAUCCAGUAUUUCCUCGACCGCUUCUACACCAACCGCAUCUCUUUCCGGAUGCUUAUCAACCAGCACACUCUCCUGUUUGGUAACGACAUCAACCCGGCCCAUCCAAAACACAUAGGCAGCAUUGAUCCCACCUGCAGUGUGGCUGAAGUCGUCAGUGAUGCCUAUGACACGGCCAAAAUGCUGUGUGAGAAGUACUACUUGGCUUCUCCUGAGCUCAAGAUUGAAGAGUUCAACAUGAAGGCCCCUAAAAAGCCCAUCCAGGCGGUGUAUGUGCCCUCUCAUCUGUUCCACAUGCUGUUUGAGCUCUUCAAAAACUCAAUGAGAGCCACAGUGGAGCUACAUGAGAACAGUACAGAGGAAUUACCACCAGUAAAGGCUAAGGUCACUCUAGGUAAAGAGGAUCUAUCCAUAAAGAUCAGUGACAGAGGAGGAGGAGUCCCUUUGAGGAAGAUAGACCGUCUGUUUAACUACAUGUACUCCACUGCACCUACACCAAGCCUAGAGCCAGGAGCUGUCCCACUGGCUGGUUUUGGCUAUGGUUUGCCGAUUUCUAGGCUCUAUGCCCGAUACUUCCAGGGGGAUCUGAAACUCUACUCCAUGGAGGGCGUGGGCACCGAUGCAGUCAUCUAUCUGAAGGCCCUGUCCAGUGAGUCCUUCGAGCGCCUGCCUGUCUUCAACAAGUCAGCGUGGCGGCAUUACAAGACUACCCCAGAAGCAGACGACUGGAGCAACCCCAGCAAAGAGCCACGUGAUGCCAGCAAGUCCAAUUACAAAGCCAACAGAUAACUCUGCUUGACCCGCUAGCACGGCCCUCUGCCGGGAGCUGAAAUGCCCGCACAGCAUGAAACAUGAAAUGUUACCCUCGGGUAAACGCUUGGUUUAGGAUCAGACUUGCUUUUACAUUCCAGUGGUUAAAGGUUUGGAGAAGAUGAAUGACCUUGACUUAAAUCUGCACCCAGUGGCAAUGACAUUCAUCAGCGUAGCUUUCAUUGCCGUGGCUGUCCGAGUUUAAAAUGAACCAAAUUCUAGAUCCCCACUGUCAUUUAGUCAAAAGCUGACUUCAUUUUCUCCUCCAUCUGGCCAUUACGUUCAUCUAAAUGUCACUGCUCUCUGUGAACUCUGCCCCUGUCUCAUGCAGUUUGAGGCUGGCUCGUCUUUGCUGACUAGGCCACCACUCCCUGUGGCUGAAUAAGCUGUGCACUGCAGAUUGAGUGUCUUUCUCAUCAUCAGUGAAGGCUUGUAUUCCGUUUCUCUCUUUUUCUCAAACACAAGCAGAGUCGGUGGUGGAGGGGUGAUGGUGGUGGAGGGGAGAGUUGAGUUUCAGUGUAAAUGGGAUGAGAUAGAGAUUUCCUUCCUUUGGGAGACACUUUUAACUGAACGCACAAUUAGGCCAGUGUGCUAUUGGCAUAGUAAAGACUUUUUUUUUGUUGCACUCUAUUUAAGCCUGGGAAAAUGAAAGAGCGGAUUGCCUGUAGAUGAAAGAAAAUGAUAACUCCAUUGUAAAAAUUGUAUUAGUACAUCCUAUUUUUAAGAAAAGUUAGGAUUUUUAUUUUAUGUCAAAGAGAGAAAGCCUUACUUAUUUAUAGCGUAUUUUAUGUUUGAAAAAAAAAAUCUGCCUUGAAGGCUCUACUGGAACUCAAAGUUCAGUUAUAAUGGAAGAAUGAAGAAGUUUUUGCUGAGUAUCCUGUUUAUAUUUUACUACUUCAGUCAUAAAAGUUAGCUAAACACCCAUCCACAGACAGCUGACCGGCAUCACUGACCCUUAUCAGACAUGUCUGCUUGCAAGCCAGCUCUGCCCCGUCAUUUAACAACUACUAAAGGACCAAAUGAGCGUCUGUAUGAUGCUUACGAAGUGCGACCAUGCCGGCUUUGACUGUCAAGUAGCUUCAACCACACCAACGUGAUGUAAUGAGAGGAAAUGGACGUGCUGCACCUAACGAGGACUAUAAAAGUGGGGAUACAUCAUUGAACCCGCUUUCUACCCAUCGUCUUGCCACAGUGGAUGUACAACAUGCUCACAGCUCGGACUUCUUAACCUAACAAUGCUUCAACCAGUCAGCCUUGUCUCAUUUGUGGUGUUACUAAUCCUCAGUCUUCUGAAUGGGUUUGAACAAAGCUUGUGUAUUUUGAGAACGUGCUUUGGUUUUUAUUAUCACGAGUGAAAAAUGACACGAAUUGAAGACACAGUUUAAAUGCAGAAUAUAAUUGAUACCUGACAGGUUUGUAAUUUAUUUUAUCCAGGAACAGAGUCUAAGAACUGCUUUUUCAGGCUUGUUUGCUUUUACUUUGGAACAUGAUUACUUCUGAUGAUCAUUUAAUGAUGCUUUUUCUUUGAUUAUUUUAAGUGUGUGGACAGUUCACUUCAUUUUCUUUAUUUAAACAAUAUGAAAUCAAGCAGUGUUUGGAAAAUCCUGCAGGGAAAAUGUGUUUAAAAGAGCCACUUAUUUUGACACACAUGGGACUUUGUUAGAGCACUUUACUAACUCUACACAUUUAUUUUCCUUUGAAAUAACUACCAUAUAAUCAUUUCAGACCUCUAUGAAAAAAUUCUUUAUAAAAGGAAGAUUAAUUAUGAUCAGCUCCAUCUGAUGUGAAAAGAAAGGAGUGUAGAUGAAGAAUUCAGAAAGGAAGGCUUCCUCGUCCCAUUUCAGCCUCACUGUAAAAUUUCAUCACUGCCGUUGUCUUCGAAACCUGCCAGUCCUGCUGAGUGAUGCUCGGUGACACACCUGCUGCAAAGGAAGUGCUGUGUUGUAUACAUGCGACAACAGUCCUCUUGGUUUGAAAGACCUCAGUUAACUCUUAAGGUGUGGUUUCCCUGCAGAUCAGUCUUACUCACAUUUGACAAAACUCACACCUUUGUCAAAGUUCCAGUUGUGUGAUUUAGAGGCCAGAGGAUCUUUAAUCUUCAGUAGCUGUCAACCUUUACUGUUAAAGACCGUCUCUGUACCUGUGGUAUUUUAGAAAAGAUUUGUCUACAUAACUAUUAAUAAUGUGUUUGCUGUAUUUAUUUGCAGCCAGUGUGGAGUGAUCGCUCUGUUUUCCAUCCCACUGUACCUCCACCUUAAACAGGUGUGUUUGUAUGCAUGAACUCCUCACUGUGGAGGUGGUCACGUAAAUAUAUGCAAUUAAUGCAACAUCAACAUGUACCAAAAAAAAAAAGUGAUAGAGCAGUCGAAUAAUGUGUUCAGCUCACACUGUCAACCCUGACAAUAAAGAAGAAUUGCUGUUG
This is an RNA transcript of Micropterus dolomieu (smallmouth bass), 3936 nucleotides long. It is a transcript of the gene named pyruvate dehydrogenase kinase, isozyme 3a, with no coding region annotated. The transcript has 12 exons. The record is from RefSeq and is a predicted model, not a curated record. NCBI's taxonomy places the organism in Eukaryota, Metazoa, Chordata, Actinopteri, Centrarchiformes, Centrarchidae.